RNAcentral lists this ribosomal RNA (821 nucleotides) under uncultured marine archaeon. RNAcentral describes it as "bacterial SSU rRNA". It matches the Rfam family "Archaeal small subunit ribosomal RNA", at positions 47 to 873 of the family's 1478-position model. The record is from RNAcentral.
AGCCAUGCGAGUCAUUGUAGUAAUACAAGGCAGACGGCUCAGUAACGCGUAGUCAACCUAACCUAUGGACGGGAAUAACCUCGGGAAACUGAGUAUAAUGCCCGAUAGAACAUUAUGCCUGGAAUGGUUUAUGUUCCAAAUGAUUUAUCGCCGUAGGAUGGGACUGCGGCCUAUCAGUUUGUUGGUGAGGUAAUGGCCCACCAAGACUAUUACAGGUACGGGCUCUGAGAGGAGUAGCCCGGAGAUGGGUACUGAGACACGGACCCAGGCCCUAUGGGGCGCAGCAGGCGAGAAAACUUUGCAAUGUGCGAAAGCACGACAAGGUUAAUCCGAGUGGUUUCUGCUAAAGGAACCUUUUGUCGGUCCUAGAAACACCGAUGAAUAAGGGGUGGGCAAGUUCUGGUGUCAGCCGCCGCGGUAAAACCAGCACCUCAAGUGGUCAGGAUGAUUAUUGGGCCUAAAGCAUCCGUAGCCGGCUCUAUAAGUUUUCGGUUAAAUCUGUACGCUCAACGUACAGGCUGCCGGGAAUACUGCAGAGCUAGGGAGUGGGAGAGGUAGACGGUACUCGGUAGGAAGGGGUAAAAUCCUUUGAUCUAUUGAUGACCACCUGUGGCGAAGGCGGUCUACCAGAACACGUCCGACGGUGAGGGAUGAAAGCUGGGGGAGCAAACCGGAUUAGAUACCCGGGUAGUCCCAGCUGUAAACUAUGCAAACUCAGUGAUGCAUUGGCUUGUGGCUAAUGCAGUGCUGCAGGGAAGCCCGUUAAGUUUGCCGCCUGGGAAGUACGUACGCAAGUAUGAAACUUAAAAGGAUUGGCGGGG